Molecule: ribosomal RNA, 429 nt
Filed under: uncultured bacterium
Lineage: Bacteria
Description: bacterial SSU rRNA
Rfam family: Bacterial small subunit ribosomal RNA
Source: RNAcentral
UGGGGAAUUUUGGACAAUGGGCGCAAGCCUGAUCCAGCAAUGCCGUGUGGGUGAAGAAGGCCUUCGGGUUGUAAAGCCCUUUUAGUAGAGACAAAAAAGCCGAAACUAAUAUUUUCGGAAAUUGAUGGUAUCUGCAGAAAAAGCACCGGCUAACUCUGUGCCAGCAGCCGCGGUAAUACAGAGGGUGCGAGCGUUAAUCGGAAUUACUGGGCGUAAAGCGUACGUAGGUGGUUGAAAAAGUCAGGUGUGAAAUCCCCAAGCUCAACUUGGGAAUUGCGCUUGAUACUAUUCGACUCGAGUUUGGUAGAGGGAGGUGAAAUUCCAGGUGUAGCGGUGAAAUGCGUAGAGAUCUGGAGGAACACCAGUGGCGAAGGCGGCCUCCUGGACCGAAACUGACACUGAGGUACGACAGCGUGGGGAGCAAACAGG